This 381-nucleotide ribosomal RNA is filed under the name uncultured Prevotella sp. Its description in RNAcentral is "bacterial SSU rRNA". It matches the Rfam family "Bacterial small subunit ribosomal RNA", at positions 354 to 730 of the family's 1533-position model. The record is from RNAcentral. Lineage: Bacteria; Pseudomonadati; Bacteroidota; Bacteroidia; Bacteroidales; Prevotellaceae.
UGAGGGAAUAUUUGGGGUCAAUGGACGAGAGUCUGAACCAGCCAAGUAGCGUGCAGGAUGACGGCCCUAUGGGUUGUAAACUGCUUUUAUAAGGGAAUAAAGUGGGAGUCGUGACUCCUUUGCAUGUACCUUAUGAAUAAGGACCGGCUAAUUCCGUGCCAGCAGCCGCGGUAAUACGGAAGGUCCGGGCGUUAUCCGGAUUUAUUGGGUUUAAAGGGAGCGUAGGCCGGAGAUUAAGCGUGUUGUGAAAUGUAGAUGCUCAACAUCUGCACUGCAGCGCGAACUGGUUUCCUUGAGUACGCACAAAGUGGGCGGAAUUCGUGGUGUAGCGGUGAAAUGCUUAGAUAUCACGAAGAACUCCGAUUGCGAAGGCAGCUCACU